UACGUAGGGGGCAAGCGUUGUCCGGAAUCAUUGGGCGUAAAGAGCGCGUAGGCGGUCCGGUAAGUCCGCUCUGAAAGUCCGGGGCUCAACCCCGGGAGGCGGGCGGAUACUGUCGGGCUAGAGUCCGGAAGAGGCGAGUGGAAUUCCUGGUGUAGCGGUGAAAUGCGCAGAUAUCAGGAGGAACACCAAUGGCGAAGGCAGCUCGCUGGGACGGUACUGACGCUGAGGCGCGAAAGCGUGGCGAGCAAACAGG
This 253-nucleotide ribosomal RNA is filed under the name uncultured bacterium. Its description in RNAcentral is "partial 16S ribosomal RNA". It matches the Rfam family "Bacterial small subunit ribosomal RNA", at positions 524 to 776 of the family's 1533-position model. The record is from RNAcentral.